Molecule: long non-coding RNA, 290 nt
Organism: Mytilus californianus (California mussel)
Lineage: Eukaryota; Metazoa; Mollusca; Bivalvia; Mytilida; Mytilidae
Exons: 3
Source: RefSeq, a predicted model, not a curated record
GCUUCCGAAAGUUCGUGCAUGUCGAUUAGCGCCUUAUUCAAAGAAACAACAUUUGUUUACCACUCGAGAGAAACUGAAACAAGAAAAAACUAUUCUACAACGUUAACAGCGAUGGCAGAGGGUAGCAUGAGACAAGAACACAGAAGUGAACAAUCUGGUCCUCCAUAAUUCUUUGAUGGCCAAACUGAAUAUCAGCUGGAAAAAUGGCAAAAUUUCAUUUGGUGCCUCAAAGUUGUUCACAAUAAUUCUUGAUUGUGUCUCAGAGUCCUUUCCUGAGUCGGUUGAAGCAA